This 24-nucleotide microRNA is filed under the name Solanum tuberosum (potato). Its description in RNAcentral is "stu-miR8014-5p". The record is from miRBase by way of RNAcentral. Lineage: Eukaryota; Viridiplantae; Streptophyta; Magnoliopsida; Solanales; Solanaceae.
AUUGUUUCAUAUUGUAUUGUAUUU